GCAUCAUUGAAAUGAAUCGAACGUCUGUUUCUCUGCUUGCUUGGUUAUAAGAUAAGGGAAUAUAUAUUUAUGGACCAGAGCUCCUGACGAUUAUUUUAGAGUUUAAUGUUAUGUGUUGCGUUUUUCUCAACUAAUUGGUGGUUUCCAUUAACUCAAGUGUCAAGAUAUUCCUGGAUCACUGGGGGUACAUAAGGAUUUAGAAAAAAAAAUGAUUCAGUUAAAAGCAGCUAUGAUUGGAAUAGCUGUUGUAGGUAGUAUCUGUUAUGCUUUGUAUACCCACUUUAAAAAUAGAGAACAGGAACAGAAGCAAUCUUAUCGUCACAGACCUCCACCCAGUAAAAGAAAUGCCGAUACCCAUGUGACAAAUACUUCAAGUGCAUUAAAGAAAGAGUGCAGCAUUUGCUUAAGCCCUAUAACUCCAUCCACACCCUUCAGGUUUUUAAAUUGUUUACAUGUAUUUCAUGAGGAAUGCAUUAAUUCGUGGUUGAAAAUCAAAGGAAACUGCCCAAAUUGUAGGACUAAAGUUUGAGUAUGUUAUGUGAACCGAUGAAAAGCAAAGCACUGUAAAUCAGAUGACAAUAAACUACUGCACUUUGCUUUUAAGGACCCGAGUCUGUGUGAAAUUAUAU
This is a long non-coding RNA of Cylas formicarius (sweet potato weevil), 629 nucleotides long. RefSeq lists it as uncharacterized. Lineage: Eukaryota; Metazoa; Arthropoda; Insecta; Coleoptera; Brentidae. The record is from RefSeq and is a predicted model, not a curated record. The transcript is spliced from 4 exons.